This 311-nucleotide ribosomal RNA is filed under the name uncultured bacterium. RNAcentral describes it as "bacterial SSU rRNA". It matches the Rfam family "Bacterial small subunit ribosomal RNA", at positions 29 to 342 of the family's 1533-position model. The record is from RNAcentral.
AUUGAACGCUGGCGGAAUGCUUUACACAUGCAAGUCGAGCGGCAGCGCGGGGCAACCUGGCGGCGAGCGGCGAACGGGUGAGUAAUGCAUCGGAACAUGUCCAUGUCGUGGGGGAUAGCCCGGCGAAAGCCGGAUUAAUACCGCAUAAGCCCGAGAGGGGAAAGCCGGGGACCGCAAGGCCUGGCGCGAUUGGGUUGGCCGAUGUCCGAUUAGCUAGUUGGCGGGGUAAGAGCCCACCAAGGCGAUGAUCGGUAGCUGGUCUGAGAGGAUGAUCAGCCACACUGGGACUGAGACACGGCCCAGACUCCUAC